UAGGGAAUCUUCGGCAAUGGGGGGAACCCUGACCGAGCAACGCCGCGUGAGUGAAGAAGGUUUUCGGAUCGUAAAGCUCUGUUGUUAAGGAAGAACGAGUGUGAGAAUGGAAAGUUCAUGCUGUGACGGUACUUAACCAGAAAGGGACGGCUAACUACGUGCCAGCAGCCGCGGUAAUACGUAGGUCCCGAGCGUUGUCCGGAUUUAUUGGGCGUAAAGCGAGCGCAGGCGGUUAGAAAAGUAUGAAGUGAAAGGCAGUGGCUCAACCAUUGUAGGCUUUGGAAACUGUUUAACUUGAGUGCAGAAGGGGAGAGUGGAAUUCCAUGUGUAGCGGUGAAAUGCGUAGAUAUAUGGAGGAACACCGGUGGCGAAAGCGGCUCUCUGGUCUGUAACUGACGCUGAGGCUCGAAAGCGUGGGGAGCGAACAGG
RNAcentral lists this ribosomal RNA (429 nucleotides) under Bacteroidota bacterium. RNAcentral's name for it is "Bacteroidetes bacterium partial 16S ribosomal RNA". It matches the Rfam family "Bacterial small subunit ribosomal RNA", at positions 355 to 776 of the family's 1533-position model. The record is from RNAcentral. Lineage: Bacteria; Pseudomonadati; Bacteroidota. RNAcentral also lists the same sequence under 1 other name.